CCAACGGCCCUCUUUAGGGCCACAAUUUGACAAGUUCAUACUUUGU
This is a non-coding RNA of Oesophagostomum dentatum (nodular worm), 46 nucleotides long. The record is from Rfam. NCBI's taxonomy places the organism in Eukaryota, Metazoa, Nematoda, Chromadorea, Rhabditida, Strongylidae.